GAUGAAGAACGUAGCGAAACGCGAUAAGUAAUGUGAAUUGCAGAAUUUAGUGAAUCAUCGAAUCUUUGAACGCACAUUGCGCCCGCCAGUAUUCUGGCGGGCAUGCCUGUUCGAGCGUCAUUUCAACCCUCAAGCCCAGCUUGGUGUUGGGGAUCGGCACAGGCGCCCUCGGGCGCCCGCCGUCCCCUAAAUCUAGUGGCGGUCCCGCUGCAGCCUCCUCUGCGUAGUAGUUUUCUCCUCGCAAGGGCAGCUCGGUGGCGACCUCGCCGUAAAACCCCCAACUUCUGAAAGGUUGACCUCGAAUCAGGUAGGAAUACCCGCUGAACUUAAGCAUAUCAAUAAGCGGAGGA
This 350-nucleotide unclassified non-coding RNA is filed under the name soil metagenome. RNAcentral's name for it is "partial contains 5.8S ribosomal RNA, internal transcribed spacer 2, and large subunit ribosomal RNA". The stretch from base 1 to 120 matches the Rfam family "5.8S ribosomal RNA", at positions 35 to 154 of the family's 154-position model. The record is from RNAcentral.